RNAcentral lists this ribosomal RNA (253 nucleotides) under uncultured bacterium. RNAcentral's name for it is "partial 16S ribosomal RNA". It matches the Rfam family "Bacterial small subunit ribosomal RNA", at positions 524 to 776 of the family's 1533-position model. The record is from RNAcentral.
GACAGAGGUCCCAAGCGUUAGGCGGAAUCACUGGGCUUAAAGCGUGUGUAGGCGGAUGCCUAAGUACCUUGUGAAAUCCCACGGCUCACCCGUGGAACUGCUUGGUAUACUGGGUGUCUUGAGCCACUUAGGGGCUACCGGAACAAGUGGUGGAGCGGUGAAAUGCGUAGAUAUCAUUUGGAACGCCAACGGUGAAAACAGGUAGCUGGGAGUGUGCUGACGCUGAGACACGAAAGCCGGGGGAGCAAACGGG